AAGCAUGUUAGGAGGACACUUUUUGGUUAAUUGCUUAUAUCUUUCCCAAGCUUUAUAGAGGGAUUCACCUUCAGUUUGUUUGAAGGUUUGGACUUCCACUCUAAGCUU
This is a small nucleolar RNA of Arachis stenosperma, 108 nucleotides long. Lineage: Eukaryota; Viridiplantae; Streptophyta; Magnoliopsida; Fabales; Fabaceae. The record is from RefSeq and is a predicted model, not a curated record.